Molecule: ribosomal RNA, 253 nt
Filed under: uncultured bacterium
Lineage: Bacteria
Description: partial 16S ribosomal RNA
Rfam family: Bacterial small subunit ribosomal RNA
Source: RNAcentral
UACAGAGGGUGCAAGCGUUGUUCGGAAUUAUUGGGCGUAAAGAGCGUGUAGGCGGCUUGGUAGGUCCGCUGUGAAAACUCGAGGCUCAACCUCGAGAUGUCGGCGGAAACCACUUGGCUAGAGUCCGGAAGAGGAGAGUGGAAUUCCCGGUGUAGCGGUGAAAUGCGCAGAUAUCGGGAAGAACACCUAUGGCGAAGGCAGCUCUCUGGGACGGUACUGACGCUGAGACGCGAAAGCGUGGGGAGCGAACAGG